UUUUGGACAAUGGGGGCAACCCUGAUCCAGCCAUGCCGCGUGAGUGAAGAAGGCCUUCGGGUUGUAAAGCUCUUUCGGACGGAACGAAAUGGGCGGGACUAAUACUCCUGUCUGAUGACGGUACCGUAGGAAGAAGCACCGGCUAACUACGUGCCAGCAGCCGCGGUAAUACGUAGGGUGCGAGCGUUAAUCGGAAUUACUGGGCGAAAGCGUGCGCAGGCGGUUUCGAAGCUGGAGGUAAAUCCCCGGGCUAACCUGGGAAUGGCCUUCAGACUGCAGGCAGGGUGCGGCAGGGGGGGGUGAAUUCCACGUGAGCAGUAAAUGCGAGGAUGUGGGGAACACCAUGGCAAGGAGCCUCCUGGCCCGACUGCGUAGUGCAA
Molecule: ribosomal RNA, 380 nt
Filed under: uncultured bacterium
Lineage: Bacteria
Description: bacterial SSU rRNA
Rfam family: Bacterial small subunit ribosomal RNA
Source: RNAcentral